GAGAGAAGACACAGCACGUACUGAUCUUAACGGACUAUCAACGCCCAAUUGGCAAUCCUAUGAUCAGGAAUGUUUAGGAUGUGUCUACGAAAGAAUGGUCUCAUGAAUCUAACUUCUUUAGAUUGCAUUCUCCCAAUCACAUAUUCCUUGGGCUUAUCGUUUAAGCAUAUAACAUUUAUAUGAGACGGCUCAAACAAUAAUCUUUGCCCUUGAUAUUAAACUAUAUUAGUUUAACAUGUGAAAUGUCCGUAAAGUAUCAUCAUAUGAUUGGUUUAGGGCACAUUUCCAACAAUCUCCCACUUGCACUAGAGCCAUCAGCUUGGUCAUCAGUGAUGAUACCUCUUCUGUAGUCAUGUCAUAAAUGGCUAAAUAGUAGGCCUAGACAAUGGAUAUCUAUAUGUUAUCCAUAGAAGCAACCUUGAGAAUAACGACGUCACCAUUAUACAUGAUUCUCAAUCAUGUGGUUCAGUCUCUCAUAUGAGUUCGGAUCUUGAUGAGACCUUGAUUCCCUGACUUGAGCUAUCGCCCCAUUAGUGUCAUAGUGUCAGUACACUAGAUACACUUU
Molecule: long non-coding RNA, 565 nt
Filed under: Malus domestica (apple)
Lineage: Eukaryota; Viridiplantae; Streptophyta; Magnoliopsida; Rosales; Rosaceae
Description: long non-coding RNA (MDOM_LNC006065)
Source: RNAcentral